Non-coding RNA from Danio rerio (zebrafish), 54 nucleotides. NCBI's taxonomy places the organism in Eukaryota, Metazoa, Chordata, Actinopteri, Cypriniformes, Danionidae. The record is from Rfam.
UGUUCCUCAUUUUGUAAGUCACUUUGGAUAAAAGCAUCUGCUAAAUGAUUAAAU